UGUCGGUAACACGCCGUUUUUAACCGGUAAUGAGGGCUUUGUAGAGCGUCAUAGAAAUUGAAAUACUUCUGAGAACGAGAAAACAGCUUGCAACAGUGUGAUUCUUUUAGUAGACAAGCCACCUUACAAAAUAUGGCAAGACCCCGAAAGACAAACAAAAGAGUUGAAAAAUUAAACUCUGCCAAGAAAGAAGUUAAUGUGGAAAAACUUCAUGACAAUGUUGACAAUGUGAAGAAAUCAGCUAUAUCGAUUCGAAGAAGGAAUGUCGCUGUAGG
This is a long non-coding RNA of Limulus polyphemus (Atlantic horseshoe crab), 275 nucleotides long. RefSeq lists it as uncharacterized. Lineage: Eukaryota; Metazoa; Arthropoda; Merostomata; Xiphosura; Limulidae. The transcript is spliced from 3 exons. The record is from RefSeq and is a predicted model, not a curated record.